CAAGAAAUACCGUGAAAAGCUAACUGUAAAGACACUUGAUGAGACAAAUAAAUAGUUACCGUGGUACCUUCUCAUCUGAAAUUGGUUGAUUAUGUAAGGAUAAAAGCUUCAGAGAUCGACGCAAGUUAUCAUGAUCAUUCUCUCGAUAUUAAAAACGUCGAUAUUUCCCUGUAUGUUAACUGUUUUGGUUUAUCUCUUUCUCAUUGUUUCAUUUCAUUGCUGUCACGUAUAUGCUCAAGCAAUCUUGUAAACGAUUAAGUAGUGAAUCAAUAUUUAGGAUCGGUUUUAUUAUUUCUCAUUUACGUUUGUUCUUCUAAUAACUACUUUAGCUUGCAUAGAUUAUUUGAACAAAAUGUAAUGCAUUGAGACUACAAAGCAAUUAUUCUUGAUGAAUUUAACGCUAUGUUCAGGAAAGAAAGACAGAAAAAGGAGGGUUUUCGUCUUGCCUGACAACAAUAUGACAUCUCAGUGUUUGCUAAGCGAUCUCUGGCAGGAAAGUUCAAAGACAAUAUGAAAGGGACUUAGCGGCCGGGGGGGGGGGGGGGGGGGGGGCUGGGCGUCGCAGAAGUUUUGUUCAGAUUAAAACAAUUAACAAACACAGAAAGUUAGAAAUUUGCUCGGCCCCCAUAGACAAAAUCGUUUUCAUUCUUGUUUCUUUUUUUUCAUUAGUGAGUUGGGGAGGGGGUAUAGGGUGAACAAUCAAAGACCUCUUAAAUUAUUAUUUACACCGUAACAGUUGUCACUUUGCCUUCUUAGAUCCCCCAUUAUUCUAUCCAAUUAAAACAGGGGAUUGGGAGGAAACUUGACUGGUUAUGGAGCUUACACAUGAUUGAUAUAGAUAUUUCUUUUAUUUUUCGUAGUUAUCGCAAAAGUGGGAUAAAACAAGAAGAAAAAAGCGACAGAAAAGAUUAUUCAUUUCAUUGAGUAUUCGUACUCCAUAAUUUAUUUCAGCUUUUCAUACUUUAUACAUAUAUACGUACAUAUAUUUACAAACUGCCUUUAUUAAUGGCACAAACCACAUUCCUGCACAUCACAUCCAAAAUUGCACAAGGGUGUGAAUAUAAAUUAAGGUGAUCUACAUUUAAUUCAUAAAUCCUCUAAUCAAAUCAAAUCAUUAACUUGAGAUUGAUUGAAGUGCUUAAUUGGCUUGGACUUAUAAACUAUGAUUAGGGUCAAGUAUGUAAACAAAUUAUCAACAAUUAAUCAAACAAUAUCAUUGAACUGGUCUCAAAUGAUUUUUUUUUCUUCUCCAUUUCAUUUAUGAGACUUCUUUCAAUUCAGUUAGAAGUUUAAAUUUCCUUUUUUGAUUUAUCAAUAUUAGAUUACACUUUAAUCAUAUCUUGGGUGCCAAACUUAUUAAGACUUUUCGUUUCUGUCUUCGUUUUGACUUUGGAUCUUUUGAAGUUUUGUAGGAACGUAGCCAUGUUAUACUUUUAGACUUGGGAUCUUUUGAGGGAGAUAAAUCUCAAAAUAUUCAACAUUUUUGAUACACUAGUUUUAAGCGACACCCGUUUAAAAAGUUUUAUUUGUACUCAGCAGAAUUCCUCGAACUCUUUUUGCAGAUAGUUGUUGGUUAUCGAUAUCAUGUUUCACGAAGAAAAAAAAAUCAGUUCGGUGUGAUUUAAUUAAUAAAUCAUCUAUUUUUUUUUCUGGAAAAAAUGAUAUCAUCUAAAGUGUUUUUUGUAAGAGUGGUGUGAAUCUGAUAUUUUGGGUAGCAACUAGAUACCUUUCUUCAAAAUUUACAGUGAUUAUAAUGGACUAUCCGAAUAUACGCAUGAUGCUUAAGGGAAACAAAAGUAUGCUAGAAAGACGAAAAAGAUAAUGUCCCUUUUGAAUUCAAUCUUCACUCUGAAUCUGAAUCCAAGUAUUCGUAUUUCAUGACCCGUUCGAGAGGUCUA
Molecule: long non-coding RNA, 1898 nt
Filed under: Strongylocentrotus purpuratus (purple sea urchin)
Lineage: Eukaryota; Metazoa; Echinodermata; Echinoidea; Camarodonta; Strongylocentrotidae
Description: uncharacterized LOC115926241
Source: RNAcentral